CUGAAGAAAGGAACUGGAAAACU
RNAcentral lists this non-coding RNA (23 nucleotides) under Cricetulus griseus (Chinese hamster). Lineage: Eukaryota; Metazoa; Chordata; Mammalia; Rodentia; Cricetidae. The record is from RNAcentral.